RNAcentral lists this ribosomal RNA (253 nucleotides) under uncultured bacterium. Its description in RNAcentral is "partial 16S ribosomal RNA". It matches the Rfam family "Bacterial small subunit ribosomal RNA", at positions 524 to 776 of the family's 1533-position model. The record is from RNAcentral.
UACGUAGGGUGCAAGCGUUGUCCGGAAUUAUUGGGCGUAAAGAGCUUGUAGGCGGUUUGUCGCGUCUGCUGUGAAAUUUCGGGGCUCAACCCCGAACUUGCAGUGGGUACGGGCAGACUAGAGUGUGGUAGGGGAGACUGGAAUUCCUGGUGUAGCGGUGAAAUGCGCAGAUAUCAGGAGGAACACCGAUGGUGAAGGCAGGUCUCUGGGCCACUACUGACGCUGAGAAGCGAAAGCGUGGGGAGCAAACAGG